RNAcentral lists this ribosomal RNA (774 nucleotides) under uncultured Neocallimastigales. RNAcentral describes it as "partial large subunit ribosomal RNA". It matches the Rfam family "Eukaryotic large subunit ribosomal RNA", at positions 24 to 644 of the family's 3401-position model. The record is from RNAcentral. Lineage: Eukaryota; Fungi; Neocallimastigomycota; Neocallimastigomycetes; Neocallimastigales.
UAUGUGAUCGUCUCUCGCAUAUCAAUAAGCGGAGGAAAAGAAACUAACAAGGAUUCCCCUAGUAACGGCGAGUGAAGCGGGAAGAGCUCAAAUUUGAAAUCUUAAAGGGUUUCCCUUUACGAAUUGUAGUUUAAAGAAGUGUUUUCUGUUGAGGUUUUGGUAAAAGUUCUCUGGAAUAGGACAUCAUAGAGGGUGAGAAUCCCGUAUUUGACCUUUACUUUCAACUUUGUGAUACACUUUCAAAGAGUCGGAUUGUUUGGGAAUGCAGUCCAAAAUGGGUGGUAAAUUUCAUCUAAAGCUAUAUAUUGGCGAGAGACCGAUAGCGAACAAGUACCGUGAGGGAAAGAUGAAAAGAACUUUGAAAAGAGAGUUAAACAGUACGUGAAAUUGUCAAAAGGGAAGCCUUUGACACCAGUGUUGUUUUUCUGAAAAUCAAUUAAAGAACUGUUUAUGCUAAGUUGUUUAGACUUUAUCAGCUAUCUGUUUAGCUUUGAGCUUUUCUUUAAUGCACUUUUCAGUUAACAAGUCAACAUCAAUUUCUUUUGCUGUAAAAAAGCUUGAGGAAGGUGGCUUGAGAUUCGUCUUAAGUGUUUAUAGCCUCUUGCCUAUGCAGUCGGAGAGAUUGAGGUCUGCAGCGUAGAUCCUUCGGGGCUAAAUGCAUUUGUGCUAAGUUAUAGCAUUUUAUAGACAACUUGUUGACUAUGAUUUGUCUUGUAGCUUACUCGCUUAUGUUAUUUUACCUACGCUUAGGAUGUUGAAGAUAUGCGCGACACG